RNAcentral lists this unclassified non-coding RNA (342 nucleotides) under Hevea brasiliensis (rubber tree). The record is from RNAcentral. Lineage: Eukaryota; Viridiplantae; Streptophyta; Magnoliopsida; Malpighiales; Euphorbiaceae.
GAUCUCUCUUUUGAUCUGAUUGAGGUUAAAAAAAAUAUAACUAAGAUGAUGGGUUAACUAGGUCUACUGUCAAUUUAAAAAUAACAAAAGUGCAGGCAGAAAAGUACAUUUAUAUUAACCAUGUUUUGUGUAUCAUUUCAAGUCACUAAUCAAUCAUCAGCUUGUGUUUGACUUUAAAAUGUAAACAUAAUUGCUAAAUGGAUCUGCAGUUUGGUGCAUCAAUUUGUAGAACCAACCUCAUAUGACAGACUCAAGCAGUCAAUACAAAUUGCUGCCCCACAUAUCUAUUUCAAAAAGUACAACAGAACAAUAACCAUGACUUUUCCAUUCUUCAUAUUACCU